CUCCCCUUUCCGUGGAGAGACUAUCAACUCCAUCUGUCACAAAAAUUAAGGCUAAAUCUCCUCUCCAGAAGCAGAGGGAGCCGGGGCUCCGACGCGCUCAGCGUCGGGCUGUCUGCCUCUCCCUAGAGGCCAAGUGAAUUUGAAAUGGCAAAAGUCACAGCCGGAGGCCCAGCACUAGGAGAUUCCUCCGGCUGCGGGAAAUCUUCCUGUACCUGCUGAAGCUGCUGCGUUCCUCAGAGGCGCUUGGUCUGCCGUGGGAAGCUGCACCUCUGCAGUCCCCAAAACCAAAAUCAAACCUUAAAAGAGCCAGACUGAGGUAAGGCGGACCGUCUUGCUCUGAUUUGAGUAUUGGUAGACAAACAGCAAUAUAAAUCGAUACUAAAAAAAUCCAGAAAGGCUGCAACUUCAUGGCACAUCAAAACAACCAUAUCCCUGGCUCUCUGUCUCUUUUUUUUUCUCUAUUAUUUGGAGUUGUCCUCUCAGUCCGGCCUGGAGGACUUGGACAACUCAGACACCUUCUCUGUGUCUGGGAUCCCUCCACAGAAGCCAGUCACCACGUAAGACAUCUGGACCACCUUCAGACUCGCAUGCUGUGAGGAAGCCCAUGCUUACUAUGUGUAGAGGAUACAUGGAGAAGGAAAGAGAUGCCUGGCCAGCUCCCUGCUGUUUCAGCCAUGUGAGUGAAGAAGGCACCAGACUUGUGAGUGGAGACACUAACUUGGAUGUCCAGCCCAGCUGAACCUUCAGGUGACUCCAGCUCUAGCUGCCAUCCUACUGAAGACACAUGAGAGAGACCCCAAGCCAGGGUCAAGAUCAGCGUGAAGCAAGUGAGGCAUUUUGGUGCAAAAUGUAAGGAGGCAUUGACCUUCAUAAUUGGGCUCCAAGACUCCAAGAGCAGAGGUGCUGAGCAGCUAAUUGGAGGGGAUAGUAU
This 931-nucleotide long non-coding RNA is filed under the name Homo sapiens (human). Its description in RNAcentral is "non-protein coding GAS1RR:19". The record is from RNAcentral. Lineage: Eukaryota; Metazoa; Chordata; Mammalia; Primates; Hominidae.